UUUUCCUACGGGACGCAGCAGUGGGGAAUAUUGCACAAUGGGGGGAACCCUGAUGCAGCGACGCCGCGUGAGUGAAGAAGUCAUUCGUGAUGUAAAGCUCUAUCAGCAGGGAAGAAAAUGACGGUACCUGACUAAGAAGCCCCGGCUAACUACGUGCCAGCAGCCGCGGUAAUACGUAGGGGGCAAGCGUUAUCCGGAUUUACUGGGUGUAAAGGGAGCGUAGACGGCAGCGCAAGUCCGAAGUGAAAGCCCGGGGCCCAACCCCGGGACUGCUUUGGAAACUGUGAAGCUGGAGUGCGGGAGGG
RNAcentral lists this ribosomal RNA (305 nucleotides) under uncultured bacterium. RNAcentral's name for it is "bacterial SSU rRNA". It matches the Rfam family "Bacterial small subunit ribosomal RNA", at positions 334 to 656 of the family's 1533-position model. The record is from RNAcentral.